AUUGAACGCUGGCUGCAGGCCUAACACAUGCAAGUCGAGCGGUAGCACAGAGAGCUUGCUCUCGGGUGACGAGCGGCGGACGGGUGAGUAAUGUCUGGGAAACUGCCUGAUGGAGGGGGAUAACUACUGGAAACGGUAGCUAAUACCGCAUAACGUCGCAAGACCAAAGUGGGGGACCUUCGGGCCUCAUGCCAUCAGAUGUGCCCAGAUGGGAUUAGCUAGUAGGUGGGGUAACGGCUCACCUAGGCGACGAUCCCUAGCUGGUCUGAGAGGAUGACCAGCCACACUGGAACUGAGACACGGUCCAGACUCCUACGGGAGGCAGCAGUGGGGAAUAUUGCACAAUGGGCGCAAGCCUGAUGCAGCCAUGCCGCGUGUGUGAAGAAGGCCUUCGGGUUGUAAAGCACUUUCAGCGGGGAAGAAGGCGGUGAGGUUAAUAACCUUGUCGAUUGACGUUACCCGCAGAAGAAGCACCGGCUAACUCCGUGCCAGCAGCCGCGGUAAUACGGAGGGUGCAAGCGUUAAUCGGAAUUACUGGGCGUAAAGCGCACGCAGGCGGUCUGUCAAGUCGGAUGUGAAAUCCCCGGGCUCAACCUGGGAACUGCAUUCGAAACUGGCAGGCUAGAGUCUUGUAGAGGGGGGUAGAAUUCCAGGUGUAGCGGUGAAAUGCGUAGAGAUCUGGAGGAAUACCGGUGGCGAAGGCGGCCCCCUGGACAAAGACUGACGCUCAGGUGCGAAAGCGUGGGGAGCAAACAGGAUUAGAUACCCUGGUAGUCCACGCCGUAAACGAUGUCGAUUUGGAGGUUGUGCCCUUGAGGCGUGGCUUCCGGAGCUAACGCGUUAAAUCGACCGCCUGGGGAGUACGGCCGCAAGGUUAAAACUCAAAUGAAUUGACGGGGGCCCGCACAAGCGGUGGAGCAUGUGGUUUAAUUCGAUGCAACGCGAAGAACCUUACCUGGUCUUGACAUCCACAGAACUUUCCAGAGAUGGAUUGGUGCCUUCGGGAACUGUGAGACAGGUGCUGCAUGGCUGUCGUCAGCUCGUGUUGUGAAAUGUUGGGUUAAGUCCCGCAACGAGCGCAACCCUUAUCCUUUGUUGCCAGCGGUUAGGCCGGGAACUCAAAGGAGACUGCCAGUGAUAAACUGGAGGAAGGUGGGGAUGACGUCAAGUCAUCAUGGCCCUUACGACCAGGGCUACACACGUGCUACAAUGGCAUAUACAAAGAGAAGCGACCUCGCGAGAGCAAGCGGACCUCAUAAAGUAUGUCGUAGUCCGGAUUGGAGUCUGCAACUCGACUCCAUGAAGUCGGAAUCGCUAGUAAUCGUAGAUCAGAAUGCUACGGUGAAUACGUUCCCGGGCCU
RNAcentral lists this ribosomal RNA (1361 nucleotides) under uncultured bacterium. RNAcentral describes it as "bacterial SSU rRNA". It matches the Rfam family "Bacterial small subunit ribosomal RNA", at positions 28 to 1381 of the family's 1533-position model. The record is from RNAcentral.